CUCUGCGAGAAGUCCAUUGAACCUUAUCAUUUAGAGGAAGGAGAAGUCGUAACAAGGUUUCCGUAGGUGAACCUGCGGAAGGAUCAUUGUCGAGACCGAAAUAUCUAUCGUGCGAUUCGGAGAACACGUGAAUUUAGUGGCGGCAGUCACCGUCGCAUAAGAUUUCAUCCUGGUCGUUGCCUCAUCUCCUCUGGGGGGCCCGGUUCAGGAUGGAUGAAACUCAAACCGGCGCAAUUCCGCGCCAAGGGAAUAUAAAAAAAUCACGAGCCCUACAUCGGGUUUAGUGGCGUGGAGUGCUAUAGCGCACCACACGAUUCUAUACGACUCUCGGCAAUGGAUAUCUCGGCUCUCGCAUCGAUGAAGAGCGCAGCGAAAUGCGAUACGUGGUGCGAAUUGCAGAAUCCCGCGAACCAUCGAGUCUUUGAACGCAAGUUGCGCCCGAGGCCAACCGGCCGAGGGCACGUCUGCCUGGGCGUCAAGCGUUGCAUCGCUCCUUGCUAACUCCAUCUCGCCAUAUGGUGUGUUGGAUGAGGCUCGGAUGUGUAGAGUGGCUCGUCGUGCUCAUUGGUGCGGCGGGCUUAAGAGCGCGUUAUCGUCUCAUUGGGCCACGAACGACACGGGGUGGAUGAAAGCUCCGAGCAAAUCCUACGUUGUCUCGUGCUGCCCUGAGAAAGGAUAAUAUGCCUUUGAGGUGAUCCCAACCCAUGCGUCGAUCCACGAGCGGCGGCUUGGAAUGUGACCCCAGGAUGGGCGAGGCCACCCGCCGAGUUUAAGCAUAUCAA
RNAcentral lists this ribosomal RNA (782 nucleotides) under Eria corneri. Its description in RNAcentral is "eukaryotic LSU rRNA". The stretch from base 323 to 478 matches the Rfam family "5.8S ribosomal RNA". The record is from RNAcentral. Lineage: Eukaryota; Viridiplantae; Streptophyta; Magnoliopsida; Asparagales; Orchidaceae.